RNAcentral lists this transfer RNA (72 nucleotides) under Camelus bactrianus (Bactrian camel). It matches the Rfam family "tRNA". From Rfam's summary of the family: Transfer RNA (tRNA) molecules are approximately 80 nucleotides in length. RNAcentral also lists the same sequence under 2 other names. Lineage: Eukaryota; Metazoa; Chordata; Mammalia; Artiodactyla; Camelidae. The record is from Rfam by way of RNAcentral.
GAGGGUGUAGCUCAGUGAUAGAGUGUGUGCUUAGCAGGCACGAGGUCCUGGGUUCAAUCCCCAGUACUUCCA